Camelina sativa (false flax) is the source of this 678-nucleotide long non-coding RNA. RefSeq lists it as uncharacterized. The record is from RefSeq and is a predicted model, not a curated record. Lineage: Eukaryota; Viridiplantae; Streptophyta; Magnoliopsida; Brassicales; Brassicaceae.
CACGAAAGAGAUAUGGAUUUUUUCUCAUCUUCAUUGGUAUCAUCGAGACAUUUGAUUAAGACCAGAAAAUGGCUACGGCUACGUCUCACCAAUCAAUCGUUUCAUUUGCUUCACACCGGUCACCUUCUUCUUCUUCGUCCUCAAUCUCUCAAUGUUUAUUACUAGAGCCUCUGUUGAAUUUGCCAAUCUCUAAAGGACUCAAGAUCCAUUCUUCACUGAGUUGUAAUAAUAAUAAUAACACCUCCAAAAAGAAAAACCUUUGCAAGAUUGAAGCUAUGGCUUCUUCUACGACUGGGACAUUUGUUUCUUCUUAUAACAACAACACUCUCUUGUCUCCUUCCAAGAACGUACCUGACAUUUCAAGAAAAAAUCAAAUGAAGCAGCUUUGAUAUUGAUUAGGCAUGGAGAAUCUUUAUGGAAUGAGAAGAAUCUUUUUACGGGUUGUGUUGAUGUGCCAUUGACAGAGAAAUGUGUUGAAAAUAAGAAAAGAGGAAGAAGAAGAUAGAAACGACGUCGUUUCGACGUAAAGAACCACUCUCUUUUGUCUAUCCAAAACAACGUCGUUUAUUACGUGGCUUCCACGUAAGCAGCCGCUAACGGUUGUUUAACACCGUCACGGCUUGUAUAUGUUUUUACACAAUUUCUCGAGUUGAUGCAGCAAAUUUGAAUUUUAUCUAA